Long non-coding RNA from Protopterus annectens (West African lungfish), 104 nucleotides. RefSeq lists it as uncharacterized. The record is from RefSeq and is a predicted model, not a curated record. NCBI's taxonomy places the organism in Eukaryota, Metazoa, Chordata, Ceratodontiformes, Protopteridae. The transcript is spliced from 3 exons.
CAUUACACCGUUUGGAGGGAACUGGAAAAUGGAGUUGGCACAAAGUGAAAGUAGAUGGCAGAUCUUGACAGAUUCCACCAGAAGACCAGUGACUUUCAAGAAUA